This is a long non-coding RNA of Prunus dulcis (almond), 1317 nucleotides long. RefSeq lists it as uncharacterized. The record is from RefSeq and is a predicted model, not a curated record. Lineage: Eukaryota; Viridiplantae; Streptophyta; Magnoliopsida; Rosales; Rosaceae. The transcript has 2 exons.
AGGCAUGGAGAGAGUUUAACAGAAUGAGUAUCAGAGAUGUCAUUAUCUUAUAGCGCAUUGAUUGACUCUCUUUUUCUCAAAAACCCAAAACCAGCGAAGCCCCUCUUUUUCUCACCUUCCUCCAUAACUCCUCAAGGUUGUGAUUGAGUGAACCAGACAAAGCUUUCUCAUUGUUGCCCAUUCUUCUUCCCAACACCCACUCACCUCAAACCUGUUAUAUCUCCACCUUUGAGCUCCUUUUCCUCUCUGAUUAGACACGCUCUUGGAAAAUGUUCAUAUGCAAUCUCUGUUGGGUUGGUUCCAUAUCCAUAGUGAAUCAAUUAUCCUUAUUUUUCCCGGAAAAUGAGGGAAAGGGCAGGAAAAUAAUAAAAGACAAACAAGUUACAGGGAAAGCUUUCCCAUGUCACUUUUUUUCUUCCCCCGUACAUUGUAUUCUUCUCGAGUCUUGGGUCUUCAGCAUUCAAACAGAAAAUGAGGAAGCAUGGAUGGCAACUUCCUUACCAUCCUCUUCAGGUGUAGUUUCAAGAAUAUUCGCUUUGGUUUUGUAGCUCAGUCAAUUGAUGUAGUAAUUUUUUUCUGUGUUGUUGUUCUGCAUUUCUGAAGGUGGUAGCUGUUGCUGUAUUUCUGGCCUUGGCCUUUGCUUUCUAUGCGUUCUUUGCUCCUUUUGUUGGAAAUAAAGAUUUUUCAGUACAUUGUGAUGGGCCUCUACGCUCCUCUUAUUACAAGUGUCUUCUUCAGCCUAUAUAUUUGGUGUGCAGCUGCUGAUCCUGCAGAUCCAGGAGUUUUUAGAUCAAAGAAAUAUCUCAAGAUUCCAGCCAAUGAAAAGCAUACUAGAAGAAAAGAUUCUAAACUAUCAACAUCAUCAAUGUGAGAUGCUAAUACUGUAACAGUUGUAGGCAAACUUCUGGAUAAGGAUGUUCUGGGCAAAGAAACGACUUCAAAAAUGUCCACCAGUGAUAGUGGAAAUAAGAAUUCACCUGAAACUUCGUCUUGCAUCCUGUUGCCUUGCUCUCCGUGUGCUUAUAUCUGCAAUUGCGCUAGUUCGAAUGAGGAAUCUUCUAUGCAACAAAUGAGUGAAGAAGGCAUGUUCUUUUGCAGUUUGUGCGAAGUUGAGGUGUGACCACGCACUUGAAUUCUACUAAGAUUAAUGUUUUCCUGGUACAUUUGUUCAGUUGUGUUCUGUAUUCUGUUCUAUAACAAGCAUAGGACUGGAAAGGACUCACUGGGGCUGUCUUCAAUGGCAUUCAUUGAAGUUUGUUUUCAUUUAGGAGAUAUCCUAAUGAAAUUGAAAUUGGUUGUGUUUCAUGAUUGACUAAA